RNAcentral lists this ribosomal RNA (456 nucleotides) under Yarrowia deformans. RNAcentral's name for it is "partial 26S ribosomal RNA". It matches the Rfam family "Eukaryotic large subunit ribosomal RNA", at positions 62 to 511 of the family's 3401-position model. Lineage: Eukaryota; Fungi; Ascomycota; Dipodascomycetes; Dipodascales. The record is from RNAcentral.
AAACCAACAGGGAUUGCCUCAGUAACGGCGAGUGAAGCGGCAAAAGCUCAAAUUUGAAACCCUCGGGAUUGUAAUUUGAAGAUUUGGCAUUGGAGAAAGCUAACCCAAGUUACUUGGAAUAGUACGUCAUAGAGGGUGACAACCCCGUCUGGCUAACCGUUCUCCAUGUAUUGCCUUAUCAAAGAGUCGAGUUGUUUGGGAAUGCAGCUCAAAGUGGGUGGUAAACUCCAUCUAAAGCUAAAUACUGGUGAGAGACCGAUAGCGAACAAGUACUGUGAAGGAAAGGUGAAAAGAACUUUGAAAAGAGAGUGAAAUAGUAUGUGAAAUUGUUGAUAGGGAAGGAAAUGAGUGGAGAGUGGUUUAGGUUUCAGCCUUCUUUCGAGGGGGUGCACUACCAACGCCGAGUCAUUGAUAGCGAGACAGGGGUUAUAAACGGACGGCACUUGUGCUUUCUCC